RNAcentral lists this ribosomal RNA (440 nucleotides) under uncultured bacterium. RNAcentral describes it as "partial 16S ribosomal RNA". It matches the Rfam family "Bacterial small subunit ribosomal RNA", at positions 338 to 795 of the family's 1533-position model. The record is from RNAcentral.
CCUACGGGAGGCAGCAGUGGGGAAUAUUGCACAAUGGGGGGAACCCUGAUGCAGCGACGCCGCGUGAGCGAUGAAGUAUUUCGGUAUGUAAAGCUCUAUCAGCAGGGAAGAAAAUGACGGUAACUGACUAAGAAGCCCCGGCUAACUACGUGCCAGCAGCCGCGGUAAUACGUAGGGGGCAAAGGUUAUCCUGAUUUACUGGGGGGAAAGGGAGCGUAGGCGGUUGUGCAAGGCUGGAGUUAAAGGCAUGGGCUUAACCUGUUGACUGCUUUUGAAACUGUGCGGCUUGAGUGUCGGAGAGGCAAGUGGAAUUCCUAGUGUAGCGGUGAAAUGCGUAGAUAUUAGGAGGAACACCAGUGGCGAAGGCGGCUUGCUGGACGAUGACUGACGUUGAGGCUCGAAAGCGUGGGGAGCAAACAGGAUUAGAUACCCUUGUAGUC